Molecule: ribosomal RNA, 252 nt
Filed under: uncultured bacterium
Lineage: Bacteria
Description: partial 16S ribosomal RNA
Rfam family: Bacterial small subunit ribosomal RNA
Source: RNAcentral
AACGUAGGGCGCGAGCGUUAUCCGGAUUCACUGGGCGUAAAGCGCGUUGAGGCGGCUCCGUAAGUUGGGCGUGAAAGCCCCGGGCUGAACCCGGGGAGGCCGUCCAAUACUGCGGGGCUUGAGGGCAGCAGAGGGAGGUGGAAUUCCCGGUGUAGUGGUGAAAUGCGUAGAUAUCGGGAGGAACGCCCGUGGCGAAGGCGGCCUCCUGGGCUGCUCCUGACGCUGAAGGCGAAAGCCAGGGGAGGGAACGGG